UUUCCGUAGGUGAACCUGCGGAAGGAUCAUUACCGAGUGAGGGCCCUCUGGGUCCAACCUCCCACCCGUGUUUAUCGUACCUUGUUGCUUCAGCGGGCCCGCCUCACGGCCGCCGGGGGGCACCCGCCCCCGGGCCCGCGCUCGCCGAAGACACCAUUGAACGCUGUCUGAAGAUUGCAGUCUGAGCAUCUUAGCUAAAUCAGUUAAAACUUUCAACAACGGAUCUCUUGGUUCCG
This 236-nucleotide unclassified non-coding RNA is filed under the name plant metagenome. Its description in RNAcentral is "partial contains small subunit ribosomal RNA, internal transcribed spacer 1, and 5.8S ribosomal RNA". The record is from RNAcentral.